ACACGUAGGAGGCGAGCGUUAUUCGGAUUUACUGGGCGUAAAGCGCGUGUAGGCGGCUGAUCAAGUUGGAUGUGAAAGCUCCCGGCUUAACUGGGAGAGGACGUUCAAAACUGAACAGCUUGAGUAUGAGAGAGGAAAAUGGAAUUCCGGGUGUAGUGGUGAAAUGCGUAGAUAUCCGGAGGAACACCAGUGGCGAAGGCGUAUUUUCUGGCUCAAGACUGACGCCCAGACGCGAAAGCUAGGGUAGC
RNAcentral lists this ribosomal RNA (248 nucleotides) under uncultured bacterium. RNAcentral's name for it is "partial 16S ribosomal RNA". It matches the Rfam family "Bacterial small subunit ribosomal RNA", at positions 523 to 769 of the family's 1533-position model. The record is from RNAcentral.